Molecule: ribosomal RNA, 253 nt
Filed under: uncultured bacterium
Lineage: Bacteria
Description: partial 16S ribosomal RNA
Rfam family: Bacterial small subunit ribosomal RNA
Source: RNAcentral
UACGAGGGGGGCGAGCGUUGUUCGGAAUUAUUGGGCGUAAAGGGCGCGUAGGCGGUAGGAUAAGUCUUGUGUGAAAUCUUCGGGCUCAACUCGAAGUCUGCACGAGAAACUGUCUGGCUUGAGUGUGGGAGAGGUGAGUGGAAUUCCUGGUGUAGCGGUGAAAUGCGUAGAUAUCAGGAGGAACACCUGUGGCGAAAGCGGCUCACUGGACCACAACUGACGCUGAGGCGCGAAAGCUAGGGGAGCAAACAGG